Molecule: long non-coding RNA, 3033 nt
Organism: Leopardus geoffroyi (Geoffroy's cat)
Lineage: Eukaryota; Metazoa; Chordata; Mammalia; Carnivora; Felidae
Exons: 5
Source: RefSeq, a predicted model, not a curated record
UCUGUCAUUAAUUCCAGCCCUCGCUAUUCUGAAGUACAGUGAAGGAUGGCGGAGAAAUCAUUGCCCUCUUCAGCUCUGUUAUUGCACAAAAUAGCAGCGCAAUAAUUUUUUGUCAAUGUUUUACUCUAAAAGCUUUCUACGUCAGUUUUGAAAAGGAAGCAAUAAAGCCCAUUCAAUGGUAUGAAUAAAAAUCCUUUGAGGGUUAGGGCAGGGCUUCUUUUCUUCAGCUGGUAAUCAAAUUGGAGCUAAAAUGAAAUUGAGUUUUCUUAUGAAAAUAGCCUUUGUUGCUGGGAAGGCUGGUAAUUCAUAAACAAUAACCCGCUCUUUUGUGUGGGUAAUAAUAUAUUCAUGUUCUUUCAAUAGGGUAAAAGCCAGACCUAGUGCAUUAUGGUACAGUAAAAAUAGCUGAAGGGGCUGGCUGGAAUGAUCUUGAAGAAGAAACGUGGCGUUCGGUGACUUUGGCUUUCAGCAUCCCUCUGAAAUGGGACUUUGCCUGGAUCUGUGCUCUGGUUUUCGUUGUUGAUUUGUCGCUGCCCUACGAUAUUUGGUUAAUUGCGGAUGGUCUCAAGCUGUGCUCGUCACUGCCACGGCCGCCGCGGCUGCCGGAGCCCCAGCCUGCUGCCACAGGACGUUGUCAUUCACAGGAGCAGGCUCUCGGCGCCCACGAGGACAGGAGCGUCCCGGAGCCCUGGACCCGACAGGCAGCUGCACGCGGGGCACAGGAGGGGAGAAAAUCACGGAAUGGAAUUGCUGAUUCAGGAGGAAGUAAACAUUCACAAGGCACCUGGGAUACAUUGGAAAUCUACACUGCAGAAAUUUCCCGUAAAUGGACAUCCCGUCUGUAAGGCCCUGCCCGCCACCGCUAUGCUGCCUGCCCGCCUGCCGCAUCCAGCACAGUGGACCCAACUGGUCUGCAGCCCAGCCGCCCCUCAGCCUAACUCGAAGCUGGUCUUGAAGGCACGAGGAGGUGGGCACCACCUUUGUCAAGAAAUGUCAUCGAGAAACCAGGGCAUUCCCCCCGGGACUCCCUCGGGUCCAUCAGCGCGCACGUGAUGCAGGUGCCGUGCGCCAGCAUCCUGGGGCGUCUGUGCCCGACCCGAGGUCCCGAUCCUUGUGGUCUGUUCCCGCUGUUCCCAGGCCUUCGCACCCACUACCAGCUUUGGGAUGAGGUCGCUUCUGUCUGCAUGGGCCCCAGGAGCCCUGCUUUCUUUCAUUGUGCACGCUGAGGUCACAUACUGAGUCGCAUGUCCACGAAGGCCUUUUGUCACACAGGGCUCCACUGCACACGUCCCUAAGACACACCUGCAAGGUCGGGCUAGUGGGCCACACUCUGCCUUCCAUUUCUGGAGCUUUUUCCUUGUUUAUUUAGGGACGCAGAAACAAAACAGGCUGAUCAGACACCACCAUGAAAGGCAUUAGUAGGUUAAAAGCAAAAGCAGGUGAAAAGCUCAUCCAUGCACUGUCUUCAGUGGAGACAACACAGUCCCACCUCAUGCAGGGACUCUCCUGCACCCCCUGGGGGACCCCAAAGCACCCCAUAGACACAAGCUUCCCCAGACACCCAGGAUCCUUCCUAAGGCACCUUCAAACUGUGGCCAUCGUUUCCAUGAAGGACGGUACAAAGGAGAAUAGACCGUUGGGUUUGCGGAAGCCAGCCUGGCCUCCUCCAGGACGGGAUGUGGAUCUGAAGUCAUCCCUACUAAAUGACAAGCCUAUCGAUAGCCGGGUUGCUAUAACCAGGUGACCCAGGUCACUAGAUGCACUGGUUGUAAGGAAAGCGGUCUGUCCCCUGUGCGGUUUCCAGUCUGCAGAACAGCAGCGCCGUGAAGGACACGGGAGCAGAGGCCGAGGAAGACGUGCUUCCCCAUGAUGCUGUUAGAGCAAGAGAAGUCCCGAGGGGACCGUGAACGCGGGCCGUGUAGUGUCCACCUGCCAGCAACACACGUGCAGUGACAUUGGGGGCGGGACCUUGCCGUGGACACUGUGGCAUUUCCAGGCCUGGACUGUCCACAGAGAACGACCAGGACAGAGUCAAAAACACACCGAGUAGGAAGUAGCUGCAGAUCAAGGACCCGUUUGCACAAAAUGCAGAGCUGUUCAAAGAAACAAGUGUCAUCGAGACACGUUGGCCGUUACUUGGCAUGAAAGUUCCAAGGCAGCUGCUCAGUGUGAGGGUGUGAUGAAAGGGACGCUCUGAGCUGUGCCUGCUCCUCAGAGCCCAUUCUGGAACGGACACCAGUCAGCGGGACUCAUCUUUUAAGCACCGCCUCCUGUCUCCCACCAACUCUGCACGCGGCCCGCGGUGCCUGAGGGAGGCGUUCUUUACCGCGUUUUGUGCUUCUUUCUUCUCCCGGUUAACCAGGCCUAUUUCUCCGGGAGUGAGGUGUGAGAACAGGUGCGCUCCCUGGAGAAGGCCGGGUCCUUCCUGUCAUUGGUUCUUGGACAAUUUCAUCCUUUAGGACCCCUCCUCUCUCCUGCUAAAAUCCAGAAGAAGUAGAGAAAAGUGUCCUUAGCCCAAUGACUAACGCACCUGCACCUUUCUGGCUUCCUUAUCAACCUCUCAACCCCAGGAACAGUGAACCCUGGAUCAACAUAUCAGUCGAGGUCGACUUGGAUUUGGAUUACAAAUUGCAAUCAUCUGAGAGGCGAGCCGCUGGCAUGGGCACCUGACUGUUCUCUGCAGCUGAGGAUUAACGGACACACCGCCUGAGCACCUUCUCCGUCCGACACCUCUGCGCAUGCCGCCCACAGAUGAGAAAUCCGGCUCGGAGACAUGUUGAAGGGCCGAAAUGCCUUCGCUAAAGAUAGACACACGAAGCCAUCCUCUGCAUGACUUGAAGAUUCGGUGGCAACAAGGGACAGUGACCCCAGGCCUGCAAGGAAGGCUUCCAGAACCACAGCUACCCACACCUGCCGGAGGCCGGAGGCCGCGUCUGCUCAGGCAGGUUCCCCGCAUCAACAGUGUAGAAGAAACAAGCACAUCUCAGAUGUCAGGGAAGUUCUGCUUUCCCUCAACCCUCCUCCUUUCCAAAG